Molecule: ribosomal RNA, 400 nt
Filed under: uncultured bacterium
Lineage: Bacteria
Description: partial 16S ribosomal RNA
Rfam family: Bacterial small subunit ribosomal RNA
Source: RNAcentral
CCUACGGGAGGCAGCAGUGAGGAAUAUUGGUCAAUGGGCGGAAGCCUGAACCAGCCAAGUCGCGUGAAGGAUGAAGGUGCUAUGGAUCGUAAACCUCUUUUGUCAAGGGAUAAAAUCCGGCUCGUGUGCCUGACCGUGUGUACCUUAUGAAUAAGGAUCGGCUAACUCCGUGCCAGCAGCCGCGGUAAUACGGAGGAUGCGAGCGUUAUCCGGAUUUAUUGGGGUUAAAGGGUGCGUAGGCGGCCUUUUUAGGCUGCGGGGAAAGGCCGGGGGGCAACCCCAGCCUGGCCGUUGAAACUGGGGGGCUUGAGAUGGCGGGAGGAAGGCGGAAUGCGGGGGGUAGCGGUGAAAUGCUUAGAUAUUGCGCAGAACCCCGAUUGCGAAGGCAGCAUGCCGGGGG